UACGGAAGGUCCGGGCGUUAUCCGGAUUUAUUGGGUUUAAAGGGAGCGUAGGCCGUCUGUUAAGCGUGUUGUGAAAUGUCGGGGCUCAACCUGGGCAUUGCAGCGCGAACUGGCAGACUUGAGUGUACGGGAAGUAGGCGGAAUUCGUCGUGUAGCGGUGAAAUGCUUAGAUAUGACGAAGAACUCCGAUUGCGAAGGCAGCCUGCUGUAGUGCAACUGACGCUGAAGCUCGAAAGCGUGGGUAUCGAACAGG
Molecule: ribosomal RNA, 253 nt
Filed under: Leyella stercorea DSM 18206
Lineage: Bacteria; Pseudomonadati; Bacteroidota; Bacteroidia; Bacteroidales; Prevotellaceae
Description: Prevotella stercorea DSM 18206 partial 16S ribosomal RNA
Rfam family: Bacterial small subunit ribosomal RNA
Source: RNAcentral